Molecule: ribosomal RNA, 253 nt
Filed under: uncultured bacterium
Lineage: Bacteria
Description: partial 16S ribosomal RNA
Rfam family: Bacterial small subunit ribosomal RNA
Source: RNAcentral
UACAUGGGGUGCAAACGUUGCUCGGAAUCAUUGGGCGUAAAGCGCGCGUAGGCGGUUACUUAUGUCGGAUGUGAAAGCCCUCGGCUUAACUGAGGAAGUGCAUUCGAAACUGGGUAGCUAGAGUACUAAAGAGGGUCGCGGAAUUCCCGGUGUAGAGGUGAAAUUCGUAGAUAUCGGGAGGAACACCGGUGGUGAAGGCGGCGACCUGGGACAAUACUGACGCUGAGGUGCGAAAGCGUGGGGAGCAAACAGG